CACACAUAUACAAAAUGUUUAAGUCACCCUCCUGUUUCCUACCUUUUAGGUGCAGGAGGGUGACUUUCCCUGGGGUCCAUUGGUGACUCAGGUUGAUGGGAGUCAGAAUUCCAACUCUGACUCCCUCUCCUACCUCCCGUGCGGAUCUCUGAUAGCUGGGAGGAGUGACUGGGACAGUUACUUCCUCCAAGCAGUGAUCUCAUUACAGGGGCAGUGCUGACUGAGCCCCCUGGAAAUCCAUACCCAUUGGGUGGCCCUAACAGCAUGGGCCACUCAAUGGGCCCAUUGAACGUGCAGCCCCGACGGUUUGCCGUGCAGGCCGGGGCUGCAAAACAUGGCUGCUGGUCAGCCAAGGGGGCCCGGUCACAGGGGUCUGCAGCGUGGCCGGGCCCCCUGGAGUGACGGGCCUGGUCGCAGCUGUGACCCCUGCAACCCCAAUAUGUAUGCCACUGACGCUAUAGGUCAUUUCUAGGUGGUCCCCUUUUAAAAAUGAAAAAUCAUUUAAAACUUACCUGAAAUCCAGCUGCAGGCAAAGGUUCCACAUUGAUCACCCUCCACCAUCGAACACCGUGGCAGCACUUGCAUUGUACAAUUGCAGGCUUCUCGUAGAUUGGACCAUUUUGCCGGCUCACAGCACAUGCGCACACCUUUCAUUCCAUUGACAGAUACAUGUUCUAAAAUUAGGUCUUUACAUUAUAUGAUUAUAUGGUACCCAGGUUAAGUCAAAGGAAUAUCCACUUACCCUAAAUUUCUCCACCACUUGAUACCUGGGACACUUAACCCCUUUACAGAAAUCAGGAGUCUUGUACACAUCAGAAUCUUCUUCUGUCACCCCACUGCCCGACACAAAGAGGAAGCUCAGCACCAGAAUUUGUAGCAUGUACAUCCUUACAGUUG
Non-coding RNA from Pelobates cultripes (western spadefoot toad), 897 nucleotides. NCBI's taxonomy places the organism in Eukaryota, Metazoa, Chordata, Amphibia, Anura, Pelobatidae. The record is from the annotation of a GenBank genome assembly.